UGUAAAUAUUUCAAAUCUUGUGAAAUUUUCUACUCUUUUCCUAUUACGGUUCGUGAGACACAACCUGCUGACAGACAGACAAACAGACAGACUGA
Molecule: long non-coding RNA, 95 nt
Organism: Maniola jurtina (meadow brown)
Lineage: Eukaryota; Metazoa; Arthropoda; Insecta; Lepidoptera; Nymphalidae
Exons: 3
Source: RefSeq, a predicted model, not a curated record